GAUGAACGCUGGCGGCGUGCCUAAUACAUGCAAAUCGAGCGAACGGACGAGAAGCUUGCUUUUCUGAUGUUAGCGGCGGACGGGUGAGUAACACGUGGAUAACCUACCUAUAAGACUGGGAUAACUUCGGGAAACCGGAGCUAAUACCGGAUAAUAUUUUGAACCGCAUGGUUCAAAAGUGAAAGACGGUCUUGCUGUCACUUAUAGAUGGAUCCGCGCUGCAUUAGCUAGUUGGUAAGGUAACGGCUUACCAAGGCAACGAUGCAUAGCCGACCUGAGAGGGUGAUCGGCCACACUGGAACUGAGACACGGUCCAGACUCCUACGGGAGGCAGCAGUAGGGAAUCUUCCGCAAUGGGCGAAAGCCUGACGGAGCAACGCCGCGUGAGUGAUGAAGGUCUUCGGAUCGUAAAACUCUGUUAUUAGGGAAGAACAUAUGUGUAAGUAACUGUGCACAUUUUGACGGUACCUAAUCAGGAAGCCACGGCUAACUACGUG
This 497-nucleotide ribosomal RNA is filed under the name uncultured bacterium. RNAcentral describes it as "partial 16S ribosomal RNA". It matches the Rfam family "Bacterial small subunit ribosomal RNA", at positions 28 to 507 of the family's 1533-position model. The record is from RNAcentral.